This 433-nucleotide ribosomal RNA is filed under the name uncultured bacterium. Its description in RNAcentral is "partial 16S ribosomal RNA". It matches the Rfam family "Bacterial small subunit ribosomal RNA", at positions 29 to 507 of the family's 1533-position model. The record is from RNAcentral.
AACGAACGCUGGCGGCAUGCCUAACACAUGCAAGUCGAACGAUCCCUUCGGGGUUAGUGGCGCACGGGUGCGUAACGCGUGGGAACCUGCCCUUAGGUUCGGAAUAACUCAGAGAAAUUUGAGCUAAUACCGGAUAAUGUCUUCGGACCAAAGAUUUAUCGCCUUUGGAUGGGCCCUCGUUGGAUUAGCUAGUUGGUGGGGUAAAGGCCUACCAAGGCGACGAUGCAUAGCUGGUCUGAGAGGAUGAUCAUCCACACUGGGACUGAGACACGGCCCAGACUCCUACGGGAGGCAGCAGUGGGGAAUAUUGGACAAUGGGCGAAAGCCUGAUACAGCAAUGCCGCGUGAGUGAUGAAGGCCUUAGGGUUGUAAAGCUCUUUUACCCGGGAUGAUAAUGACAGUACCGGGAGAAUAAGCCCCGGCUAACUCCGUG